RNAcentral lists this ribosomal RNA (490 nucleotides) under uncultured Sphingobacteriales bacterium. RNAcentral's name for it is "bacterial SSU rRNA". It matches the Rfam family "Bacterial small subunit ribosomal RNA", at positions 904 to 1382 of the family's 1533-position model. Lineage: Bacteria; Pseudomonadati; Bacteroidota; Sphingobacteriia; Sphingobacteriales. The record is from RNAcentral.
CCCGCUCAGAAACUCAAGGAAUUGACGGGGCCCGCACAAGCGGUGGAGCAUGUGGUUUAAUUCGAUGAUACGCGAGGAACCUUACCUGGGCUCAAAUGUAUGUUGACGUAUUCUGAAAGGGAUACUUCUUCGGACAAUAUACAAGGUGCUGCAUGGUUGUCGUCAGCUCGUGCCGUGAGGUGUCGGGUUAAGUCCCAUAACGAGCGCAACCCCUAUCAUUAGUUGCCAUCAGGUCAAGCUGGGGACUCUAAUGAAACUGCCUACGCAAGUAGUGAGGAAGGUGGGGAUGACGUCAAAUCAGCACGGCCCUUACGUCCAGGGCUACACACGUGCUACAAUGGCCGGUACAGAGGGCAGCUACCUGGUGACAGGAUGCAAAUCUCCAAAGUCGGUCUCAGUUCGGAUCGGAGUCUGCAACCCGACUCCGUGAAGUUGGAUUCGCUAGUAAUCGCGCAUCAGCCAUGGCGCGGUGAAUACGUUCCCGGGCCUU